GGAAAUCUCACCAGGCCCAGACACUGGAAGGAUUGACAGAUUGAUAGCUCUUUCUCGAUUCGGUGGGUGGUGGUGCAUGGCCGUUCUUAGUUGGUGGAGCGAUCUGUCUGGUUAAUUCCGAUAACGAACGAGACCCCAACCUGCUAACUAGCCCUCGGGUCCUGCUUCUGUUGGGCCCGACGGAAUGAUUCGCUUCUUAGAGGGACUCGCGGCGCCUAGCCGCACGAAGGGGGGCGAUAA
RNAcentral lists this ribosomal RNA (240 nucleotides) under uncultured eukaryote. RNAcentral's name for it is "partial 18S ribosomal RNA". It matches the Rfam family "Eukaryotic small subunit ribosomal RNA", at positions 1208 to 1456 of the family's 1831-position model. The record is from RNAcentral.